GCCGGGCAUGGUGGCCCAUGCCUGUAAUCCCAGCUACUUGGGAGGCUGAGGCAGGAGAAUUGCUUGAACCUGGGAUGCAGAGAUUGCAGUGAACUGAGAUUGCGCCAUUGCACUCCAGCCUGGGUGACAGAGUGAGACUCCAUCUCAAAAAAAAGAACCACUGGACUUGGGCACAAUGGAGAUAUUGCUGACUUUUUUCCUUUUUUUUUUUUGAGACGGAGUCUCGCUCUGUCGCCCAGGCUGGAGUGCAGUGGCGUGAUCUCAGCGCACUGCAAGCUCCACCUCCCAGGUUCACACCAUUCUCCUGCCUCAG
Molecule: unclassified non-coding RNA, 313 nt
Organism: Macaca mulatta (Rhesus monkey)
Lineage: Eukaryota; Metazoa; Chordata; Mammalia; Primates; Cercopithecidae
Rfam family: Metazoan signal recognition particle RNA
About the family: The signal recognition particle (SRP) is a universally conserved ribonucleoprotein. It is involved in the co-translational targeting of proteins to membranes.
Source: Ensembl